RNAcentral lists this ribosomal RNA (433 nucleotides) under uncultured bacterium. RNAcentral describes it as "partial 16S ribosomal RNA". It matches the Rfam family "Bacterial small subunit ribosomal RNA", at positions 29 to 507 of the family's 1533-position model. The record is from RNAcentral.
AACGAACGCUGGCGGCAUGCCUAACACAUGCAAGUCGAACGAGACCUUCGGGUCUAGUGGCGCACGGGUGCGUAACGCGUGGGAACCUGCCCUUAGGUUCGGAAUAACUCCCCGAAAGGGGUGCUAAUACCGGAUAAUGACUUCGGACCAAAGAUUUAUCGCCUUUGGAUGGGCCCGCGUUGGAUUAGCUAGUUGGUAGGGUAAAAGCCUACCAAGGCGACGAUCCAUAGCUGGUCUGAGAGGAUGAUCAGCCACACUGGGACUGAGGCACGGCCCAGACUCCUACGGGAGGCAGCAGUGGGGAAUAUUGGACAAUGGGCGAAAGCCUGAUCCAGCAAUGCCGCGUGAGUGAUGAAGGCCUUAGGGUUGUAAAGCUCUUUUACCCGGGAUGAUAAUGACAGUACCGGGAGAAUAAGCUCCGGCUAACUCCGUG